RNAcentral lists this ribosomal RNA (797 nucleotides) under uncultured methanogenic archaeon. Its description in RNAcentral is "bacterial SSU rRNA". It matches the Rfam family "Archaeal small subunit ribosomal RNA", at positions 85 to 880 of the family's 1478-position model. The record is from RNAcentral. Lineage: Archaea; Methanobacteriati; Methanobacteriota.
ACUGCUCAGUAACACGUGGAUAACCUGCCCUUGGGUCCGGCAUAACCCCGGGAAACUGGGGAUAAUUCCGGAUAACGCAUAUAUGCUGGAAUGCUUUAUGCGUAAAAUGGAUUCGUCUGCCCAAGGAUGGGUCUGCGGCCUAUCAGGUAGUAGUGGGUGUAAUGUACCUACUAGCCAACAACGGGUACGGGUUGUGAGAGCAAGAGCCCGGAGAUGGAUUCUGAGACAUGAAUCCAGGCCCUACGGGGCGCAGCAGGCGCGAAAACUUUACAAUGCGGGAAACCGUGAUAAGGGGACACCGAGUGCUAGCAUCAUAUGCUGGCUGUCCAGGUGUGUAAACUACACCUGUUAGCAAGGGCCGGGCAAGACCGGUGCCAGCCGCCGCGGUAACACCGGCGGCCCGAGUGGUGAUCGUGAUUAUUGGGUCUAAAGGGUCCGUAGCCGGUUUGGUCAGUCCUCCGGGAAAUCUGAUAGCUUAACUAUUAGGCUUUCGGGGGAUACUGCCAGGCUUGGAACCGGGAGAGGUAAGAGGUACUACAGGGGUAGGAGUGAAAUCUUGUAAUCCCUGUGGGACCACCUGUGGCGAAGGCGUCUUACCAGAACGGGUUCGACGGUGAGGGACGAAAGCUGGGGGCACGAACCGGAUUAGAUACCCGGGUAGUCCCAGCCGUAAACGAUGCUCGCUAGGUGUCAGGCAUGGCGCGACCGUGUCUGGUGCCGCAGGGAAGCCGUGAAGCGAGCCACCUGGGAAGUACGGCCGCAAGGCUGAAACUUAAAGGAAUUGGCGGGGGAGCACA